GACGAACGCUGGCGGCGUGCUUAACACAUGCAAGUCGAACGCUGAAGCCCUUUCGGGGGUGGAUGAGUGGCGAACGGGUGAGUAACACGUGGGUAAUCUGCCCUGCACUCUGGGAUAAGCCUUGGAAACGGGGUCUAAUACCGGAUAGGACACAUCGCCGCAUGGUGUGUGUGUGGAAAGUUCCGGCGGUGCAGGUUGAGCCCGCGGCCUGUCAGCUUGUUGGCGGGGUGAUGGCAUACCAAGGCGACGACGGGUAGCCUGCCUGAGAGGGUGACCGGCCACACUGGAAGUGAGACGCAGCCCAGACUCCUACGGGAGGCAGCAGUGGGGAAUCUUGCGCAAUGGGCGAAAGCCUGACGCAGCAACGCCGCGUGGGGGAUGACGGCCUUCGGGUUGUAAACCUCUUUCGACCGGGACGAAGGGUGACUGACGGUACCGGUAGAAGAAGCACCGGCUAACUACGUGCCAGCCGCCGCGGUAA
This 481-nucleotide ribosomal RNA is filed under the name uncultured bacterium. RNAcentral's name for it is "partial 16S ribosomal RNA". It matches the Rfam family "Bacterial small subunit ribosomal RNA", at positions 28 to 523 of the family's 1533-position model. The record is from RNAcentral.